This is a non-coding RNA of Peromyscus maniculatus bairdii (prairie deer mouse), 533 nucleotides long. The record is from RefSeq and is a predicted model, not a curated record. Lineage: Eukaryota; Metazoa; Chordata; Mammalia; Rodentia; Cricetidae.
UCAUAUUUCAACAUGCAUCUCUUUGGUUCUCAAUUCCUCUUUAUCCAUAGAAAAGCAAAAAAGGACAAGGAAUGGAGGGUCACAGGAAAAACCCACAAUGGCUUCCAACUGUUUGCAAAGAUGCCUAAUGUCUUUGGAAUCGGGAGGUUAAGGCACAACAAAAUGCAGCAAACCUCUUCUCCCUGGGACGCAAAGUACCACAACAUAGCUCUCUGUCUCCCUCAGGACUUUCAUGAGGAAGAGAAGAACUGGGAAAAAGGUGGGGGGACCCUACCUCCACAGCUGGCACAUCUCACACCUAACAGCCUGAGGAGAGGGAGACUGGUCAUGGCGGAAUCACCAGGGUCUGGCUUUGUAAGUGGCUACCUGCCUGACUCUACCUUCCCCACCUGCUCAAUCACAGCAUGGUCUACUUAGCUUUGCCUCAGAGCAAAAGGCAAAAAAUGGACAAAGUUUUUUAGAGUGACCUGUGACUCUUUAUGUCAACUGUGCUAAAUCUGCUUCAAUAACUUUAUUUUUUCAAAUAAAUACUG